UACGUAGGGUGCGAGCGUUGUCCGGAAUUAUUGGGCGUAAAGAGCUCGUAGGCGGUGUGUCACGUCGUUCGUGAAAACCUGCAGCUUAACUGUGGGCGUGCGGUCGAUACGGGCAUCACUGGAGUUCGGCAGGGGAGACUGGAAUUCCUGGUGUAGCGGUGAAAUGCGUAGAUAUUGGGAGGAACACCAGUGGCGAAGGCGGCUCACUGGACCGGAACUGACGCUGAGGCGCGAAAGCGUGGGGAGCAAACAGG
RNAcentral lists this ribosomal RNA (254 nucleotides) under uncultured bacterium. Its description in RNAcentral is "partial 16S ribosomal RNA". It matches the Rfam family "Bacterial small subunit ribosomal RNA", at positions 524 to 776 of the family's 1533-position model. The record is from RNAcentral.